AUUAAGUUGGGGACUCUAGGGAGACCGCCGGGGAGAACUCGGAGGAAGGUGGGGAUGACGUCAAGUCAGCAUGCCCCUUACGUCUUGGGCUACACACGUACUACAAUGGUUGGGACAAAGGGAGGCGAAACUGCGAAGUGGAGCGAAUCCUGUCAAACCCAGCCCCAGUUCAGAUUGCAGGCUGAAACUCGCCUGCAUGAAGGAGGAAUCGCUAGUAAUCGCAGGUCAGCAUACUGCGGUGAAUCCGUUCCCGGGUCUUGUACACACCGCCCGUCACACCAUGGAAGUUGGUCACGCCCGAAGUCGUUACCUCAACCGUUUACGGAGAGGGAUGCCGAAGGUGGGACUAGUGACUGGGGUG
RNAcentral lists this ribosomal RNA (361 nucleotides) under Geminocystis herdmanii PCC 6308. RNAcentral describes it as "bacterial SSU rRNA". It matches the Rfam family "Bacterial small subunit ribosomal RNA", at positions 1125 to 1482 of the family's 1533-position model. Lineage: Bacteria; Bacillati; Cyanobacteriota; Cyanophyceae; Chroococcales; Geminocystaceae. The record is from RNAcentral.